AUCACUUCUCAGCCUUUGGGCUAAGAUCAAGUGUAGUACAUUAUGGGGUGUUCACACAUUACAUUCAACAAGUGGACAAUCUAU
Podarcis lilfordi (Lilford's wall lizard) is the source of this 84-nucleotide non-coding RNA. Lineage: Eukaryota; Metazoa; Chordata; Lepidosauria; Squamata; Lacertidae. The record is from the annotation of a GenBank genome assembly.